Molecule: ribosomal RNA, 477 nt
Filed under: uncultured bacterium
Lineage: Bacteria
Description: SSU rRNA
Rfam family: Bacterial small subunit ribosomal RNA
Source: RNAcentral
AGGACGAACGCUGGCGGCGUGCUUAACACAUGCAAGUCGAGCGAGGCUCCUCCUUCGGGAGGAUGCCCUAGCGGCGAACGGGUGAGUAACACGUGGGCAACCUGCCCCUAGCACUGGGAUAACCCCGGGAAACCGGGGCUAAUACCGGAUACGACUUCGGAAGGCAUCUUCUGAAGUGGAAAAGGUUACUGGCUAGGGAUGGGCCCGCGGCCUAUCAGCUUGUUGGUGGGGUAAUGGCCCACCAAGGCGACGACGGGUAGCCGGCCUGAGAGGGCGACCGGCCACACUGGGACUGAGACACGGCCCAGACUCCUACGGGAGGCAGCAGUGGGGAAUAUUGCACAAUGGGCGAAAGCCUGAUGCAGCGACGCCGCGUGAGGGAUGACGGCCUUCGGUGUAAACCUCUUUCAGCAGGGACGAAGCGAAAGUGACGGUACCUGCAGAAGAAGCACCGGCCAACUACGCGCCAGCAGCCGC